UUUGGGAACAAUCGUUCCUCGCGUCGCCGCCGUCGGAUUGAUCCGAUUUGCGGGCGAUUUGGACCCCGCUAAGGAGCUGAGGAGGAAGAGUUGGAGAAGGAUUUUUGGAAGAAGAAGAUAAUCUUGAGAAGGGCCUUGAGGACGGCCCAGGUGGACUGAGAUGUUAUCUUCUUUGAUAUCUCCAUUUUGAUGUGAAUAGAGCUUAGAAUAAAAAGUUGUGAAUUGUUAUGGUUUGUGUUUUGUAUAAAAGUGUGGUUAUAAAUUUCAAUAUGAAAAAUAUGGCCCUGCUUUUCUA
Molecule: long non-coding RNA, 295 nt
Organism: Eucalyptus grandis
Lineage: Eukaryota; Viridiplantae; Streptophyta; Magnoliopsida; Myrtales; Myrtaceae
Exons: 2
Source: RefSeq, a predicted model, not a curated record